UAAACUCACCCAACUUUUCGAAACCCACCAC
This 31-nucleotide non-coding RNA is filed under the name Rattus norvegicus (Norway rat). Lineage: Eukaryota; Metazoa; Chordata; Mammalia; Rodentia; Muridae. The record is from RNAcentral.